Gorilla gorilla gorilla (western lowland gorilla) is the source of this 149-nucleotide non-coding RNA. It matches the Rfam family "Metazoan signal recognition particle RNA". From Rfam's summary of the family: The signal recognition particle (SRP) is a universally conserved ribonucleoprotein. It is involved in the co-translational targeting of proteins to membranes. The eukaryotic SRP consists of a 300-nucleotide 7S RNA and six proteins: SRPs 72, 68, 54, 19, 14, and 9. The record is from Rfam. NCBI's taxonomy places the organism in Eukaryota, Metazoa, Chordata, Mammalia, Primates, Hominidae.
GCCAGGUGUGGUGGUGCAUGCCUGUAAUCCCAGCUACUUAGGAGGCUGAGGCAGGAGAAUCACUUGAACUCAGGAGGUGGAGGUUGCAGUGAGCCUAAGAUUAUGCCAUUGCACUCCAGCCUGGGUGACAGAGCGAUACUCUGUCUCAA